GCCUGAGUGAUGAAAUUGGUAUACAUGGGGGAUUCAAAAUCCCCUGCUUCACGGCGUGUCGGUUCGAGUCCGACCUCAGGUACCA
Molecule: transfer RNA, 85 nt
Filed under: Shewanella frigidimarina
Lineage: Bacteria; Pseudomonadati; Pseudomonadota; Gammaproteobacteria; Alteromonadales; Shewanellaceae
Also listed under: 10 other names
Description: tRNA-Leu
Rfam family: tRNA
About the family: Transfer RNA (tRNA) molecules are approximately 80 nucleotides in length.
Source: RNAcentral